RNAcentral lists this ribosomal RNA (496 nucleotides) under uncultured bacterium. RNAcentral's name for it is "partial 16S ribosomal RNA". It matches the Rfam family "Bacterial small subunit ribosomal RNA", at positions 28 to 506 of the family's 1533-position model. The record is from RNAcentral.
GAUGAACGCUGGCGGCGUGCCUAAUACAUGCAAGUCGAGCGAACGGACGAGAAGCUUGCUUCUCUGAUGUUAGCGGCGGACGGGUGAGUAACACGUGGAUAACCUACCUAUAAGACUGGGAUAACUUCGGGAAACCGGAGCUAAUACCGGAUGAUAUUUUGAACCGCAUGGUUCAAAAGUGAAAGACGGUCUUGCUGUCACUUAUAGAUGGAUCCGCGCUGCAUUAGCUAGUUGGUAAGGUAACGGCUUACCAAGGCAACGAUGCAUAGCCGACCUGAGAGGGUGAUCGGCCACACUGGAACUGAGACACGGUCCAGACUCCUACGGGAGGCAGCAGUAGGGAAUCUUCCGCAAUGGGCGAAAGCCUGACGGAGCAACGCCGCGUGAGUGAUGAAGGUCUUCGGAUCGUAAAACUCUGUUAUUAGGGAAGAACAUAUGUGUAAGUAACUGUGCACAUCUUGACGGUACCUAAUCAAAAAGCCACGGCUAACUACGU